This 483-nucleotide ribosomal RNA is filed under the name uncultured bacterium. RNAcentral describes it as "partial 16S ribosomal RNA". It matches the Rfam family "Bacterial small subunit ribosomal RNA", at positions 30 to 506 of the family's 1533-position model. The record is from RNAcentral.
AUUGAACGCUGGCGGCAGGCCUAACACAUGCAAGUCGAGCGGAUGAAGGGAGCUUGCUCCUGGAUUCAGCGGCGGACGGGUGAGUAAUGCCUAGGAAUCUGCCUGGUAGUGGGGGAUAACGUCCGGAAACGGGCGCUAAUACCGCAUACGUCCUGAGGGAGAAAGUGGGGGAUCUUCGGACCUCACGCUAUCAGAUGAGCCUAGGUCGGAUUAGCUAGUUGGUGGGGUAAAGGCCUACCAAGGCGACGAUCCGUAACUGGUCUGAGAGGAUGAUCAGUCACACUGGAACUGAGACGCGGUCCAGACUCCUACGGGAGGCAGCAGUGGGGAAUAUUGGACAAUGGGCGAAAGCCUGAUCCAGCCAUGCCGCGUGUGUGAAGAAGGUCUUCGGAUUGUAAAGCACUUUAAGUUGGGAGGAAGGGCAGUAAGUUAAUACAUUGCUGUUCUGACGUUACCAACAGAAUAAGCACCGGCUAACUUCGU